RNAcentral lists this microRNA precursor (103 nucleotides) under Chlorocebus sabaeus (green monkey). RNAcentral describes it as "miRNA (ENSCSAG00000024301.1)". Lineage: Eukaryota; Metazoa; Chordata; Mammalia; Primates; Cercopithecidae. The record is from RNAcentral.
UUGUUUAUAAUAAACUGAAAUAUUUGGGACUGAUCUUGACACUCUUAACAUGUUUUGGCAGACAUCAAGAUCAGUCCCAAAUAUUUCAGUUUAUUAUAGACAG